UUCUGCCUACGGGGCGCAGCAGUGGGGAAUAUUGCACAAUGGGGGAAACCCUGAUGCAGCGACGCCGCGUGAGUGAGGAAGUAUUUCGGUAUGUAAAGCUCUAUCAGCAGGGAAGAAAAUGACGGUACCUGACUAAGAAGCCCCGGCUAACUACGUGCCAGCAGCCGCGGUAAUACGUAGGGGGCAAGCGUUAUCCGGAUUUACUGGGUGUAAAGGGAGCGUAGACGGCAAUACAAGUCGGAAGUGAAAUACCCGGGCUUAACCUGGGAACUGCUUUGGAAACUUUAUGGCUGGAGUGCUGGAGG
RNAcentral lists this ribosomal RNA (305 nucleotides) under uncultured bacterium. Its description in RNAcentral is "bacterial SSU rRNA". It matches the Rfam family "Bacterial small subunit ribosomal RNA", at positions 333 to 655 of the family's 1533-position model. The record is from RNAcentral.